CCUACGGGAGGCAGCAGUGGGGAAUAUUGCACAAUGGGCGAAAGCCUGAUGCAGCAACGCCGCGUGAAGGAAGACGGUUUUCGGAUUGUAAACUUCUAUCAAAAGGGAAGAAAGAAAUGACGGUACCUAAAUAAGAAGCCCCGGCUAACUGCGUGCCAGCAACCGCGGGAAUACGUAGGGGGCAAGCGUUAACCGGAAUUACUGGGUGUAAAGGGAGAGUAGGCGGCAAGGUAAGCGAUAGGUGAAAGCCUUAAGCUUAACUAAAGGAUUGCAUAACGAACUAUCUAGCUAGAGUACAGGAGAGGAAAGUGGAAUUCCUAGUGUAGCGGGGAAAUGCGUAGAUAUUAGGAAGAACACCAGUGGCGAAGGCGGCUUUCUGGCAUGAAACUGACGCUGAGGCUCGAAAGCGUGGGGAGCGAACAGGAUUAGAUACCCUAGUAGUC
Molecule: ribosomal RNA, 443 nt
Filed under: uncultured bacterium
Lineage: Bacteria
Description: partial 16S ribosomal RNA
Rfam family: Bacterial small subunit ribosomal RNA
Source: RNAcentral